RNAcentral lists this ribosomal RNA (1189 nucleotides) under uncultured bacterium. RNAcentral describes it as "bacterial SSU rRNA". It matches the Rfam family "Bacterial small subunit ribosomal RNA", at positions 101 to 1311 of the family's 1533-position model. The record is from RNAcentral.
AACGGGUGAGGAACACGUGAGGAAUCUGCCUUUCACUUCGGGAUAACUCCGGGAAACCGGGGCUAAUACCGGAUAUUUUCAACUGGCGGCAUCGCCGGUUGAAGAAAGUUUUUCGGUGAAAGAUGACCUCGCGGCCUAUCAGCUUGUUGGUGAGGUAAUGGCUCACCAGGCAACGACGGGUAGCCGGCCUGAGAGGGCGACCGGCCACACUGGGACUGAGACACGGCCCAGACUCCUACGGGAGGCAGCAGUGGGGAAUAUUGGGCAAUGGAGGAAACUCUGACCCAGCGACGCCGCGUGAGGGAUGAAGGCCUUCGGGUUGUAAACCUCUUUCAGUAGGGAAGAAGCGAAAGUGACGGUACCUACAGAAGAAGCACCGGCUAACUAUGUGCCAGCAGCCGCGGUAAUACAUAGGGUGCAAGCGUUGUCCGGAAUUAUUGGGCGUAAAGAGCUCGUAGGUGGCUCGAUACGUCGGAUGUGAAAAUCAGGGGCUCAACCCCUGACCUGCAUUCGAUACGGUCAAACUAGAGUGUGGUAGGGGAGACUGGAAUUCCUGGUGUAGCGGUGGAAUGCGCAGAUAUCAGGAGGAACACCAAUGGCGAAGGCAGGUCUCUGGGCCAUAACUGACACUGAGGAGCGAAAGCGCGGGGAGCGAACAGGAUUAGAUACCCUGGUAGUCCGCGCCGUAAACGGUGGGCACUAGCUGUGGGUCCCUUCCACGGGAUCCGCGACGCAGCAAACGCAUUAAGUGCCCCGCCUGGGGAGUACGAUCGCAAGAUUAAAACUCAAAGGAAUUGACGGGGCCCCGCACAAGCAGCGGAGCAUGCGGCUUAAUUCGACGCAACGCGAAGAACCUUACCAAGGCUUGACAUAUAGCGAAAAGUGGCAGAGAUGUCAUGUCCGCAAGGGCGCUAUACAGGUGGUGCAUGGUUGUCGUCAGCUCGUGUCGUGAGAUGUUGGGUUAAGUCCCGCAACGAGCGCAACCCUCGUUCUGUGUUACCAGCAUUUAGUUGGGACUCACAGGAGACUGCCGGGGUCAACUCGGAGGAAGGUGGGGAUGACGUCAAAUCAUCAUGCCCCUUAUGUCUUGGGCUGCACGCAUGCUACAAUGGCCGGUACAAGUGCUGCGAAAUCGUAAGAUUGAGCGAAUCACAUAAAGCCGGUCUCAGUUCGGAUUGAGGUCUUAGAC